UGGGGAAUCUUGGACAAUGGGCGCAAGCCUGAUCCAGCCAUGCCGCGUGAGUGAAGAAGGCCCUAGGGUUGUAAAGCUCUUUCGGCGGGGACGAUAAUGACGGUACCCGCAGAAGAAGCCCCGGCUAACUCCGUGCCAGCAGCCGCGGUAAUACGGAGGGGGCUAGCGUUGUUCGGAAUUACUGGGCGUAAAGCGCACGUAGGCGGGUCGUUAAGUCGGGGGUGAAAUCCUGGGGCUCAACCUCAGAACUGCCUUCGAUACUGGCGACCUUGAGUACGGGAGAGGUGAGUGGAAUUCCCAGUGUAGAGGUGAAAUUCGUAGAUAUUGGGAAGAACACCAGUGGCGAAGGCGGCUCACUGGCCCGUAACUGACGCUGAGGUGCGAAAGCGUGGGGAGCAAACA
Molecule: ribosomal RNA, 402 nt
Filed under: uncultured bacterium
Lineage: Bacteria
Description: bacterial SSU rRNA
Rfam family: Bacterial small subunit ribosomal RNA
Source: RNAcentral